CUUAUCCCUCCAGAAACCCAUGGAGACCAAUGUUUAAGAAAGUCCUUCUUAAAUCAGCACUCAACUAGCUCUAUGCCUGGAGUAUUCUCCUAUCUCUCUAUACCUUCCCUCCUUUUUUCUCCCAAUCCAGCUAUUAAAAUCCAUACCCAGAAGAUGACUUAAUCUUUUAUUCUCAGUGAAGCCGAGUAUUUCAACUAGCAAUGGUUUUAGGAUAAAGUUUGUUUAUCCUGGAAUACCCUUUGUGUUUCUCACCUGGUGGGAAGGGAGUCUCUUGGCAUCAAAUUUAUGCUACAAAAGGUAACCUAAUACCCAAGAGAAUGACUUGUUUGCAUUUAAUGUGUGUUCUAACCUGAGGAAAGUGAGAAGCUAGAAAGUGCUGCCCAUUUGAAUUAUGAGCCACUAAUUUUAAAUUUUCUAAAAGUCACAUUAAAGAACAGGUGACAUUAAUUUUAGUAAUAUAUUUCAUUUCUACUACUUAUCCUAAAUAUUAUUAUUUCAACAUGGGCAUUUUACAUUUUUUAUACUCAUCUUUGAAUGUCAGUAUGUAUUUUAUGGCUUUUAGUACAUCUGAAAUCAAUGGUAAAUUCUCAAAGAUUAAAGAGAAAUGUCCUUUCAAAACAAUGAAGUUGUGAUUAGUGGUGGUUAGUAGCUUUAGUUUUUAUAUCAAAAUUAAUUGAAAUAAAUUCAAAAUUCAGUCACUCUUGUCACAUUUUAAUAGCCAAAUAUGUCCAGCUGCUACUAUGGACAGCAAUGGUCUAGAAUUCCCAAUCAAACGAUCUUUAAAUCUCCUUCAUCUUUGAUGCAAAGAAAGAAUCUGGAGGAUCCAGGAUUAUGGAAAGGAAGAGAGGAGAUGGGCAGACCUGAGAGAAGCUAAGGAAAACCAGCAUAAAGAAACUGUCAGACAUCCAUGGAAUGGUCUCUCUCCACUGAGCUGUGACCCAGAGAAACAAUAAACAAAGAUAGCACAUCAUCCCUGGGCUCUAAUUGUGUUUUCAUUGCUAUUGUGUAAAGUUGGGUCUCUCUGAUAGAGGGUUUGAGGAAAUUAUUCAGCAUAACUAUGAAGUGAUGUCAUAUUUUCAUUUCACAAAAGCCUUCAAUUUGGACCUAAAAUCUUGAUCAAAGCAGAGAUUUUUAUCAUCUUGGCAAAACAAAAAGAGGAAGAAAUGUGUGGGGCAGAUAGAAAGAGAGAGAGAAAGAGAGAGACUAGUGCCUUCAAAUGACACCCUCAGACUGCUGCCCAAGGUGUUUCUGAGAAGGCCAGCCUUGGUUGCCUGUUCACUGUUACAGUUGCCAGGAAUUAGAGAUGCUUCCCUCAGCAUUCCGUGCACUUAUUUAUUGUCUUCUCAAACUUCUCAGUUUCAUCCAUUAGUUAUUAGAAGCCUGAAUCUUUUCAGCAGUUGGAAUGGACUAUUAUGAAUAAAUGGAAAGUUCCCUCUUUUCCUUGAUAGAGACCAAAGAAGAAAUGUAGAAAACCAAAUGCUUAAAGUGAAGGAAAUAUUUCAAAAUUUUAAACCAAAGACACUAUUUUAACUAAGAUUUGCUAAAUAUUAACUGAAGUAAUAAACGCUGAAAGAAGCGAUGUUAUCCAUUGGUAAGGGACCCUCCAGUGGGGACUGUAGACCCUCUGCAGUCCUUAUGUUUCACAGCUUCAUCUACCAGCUAGAGCCCUUGAGGGAGGCAUCCUUCCAGACCUGGAAAAUUUGCAUGAUAAAAGGUCCCAUAUUCUUCUUCUUUCAAAAGAGGGCCAAAGUUUGUUUAUUUGCAUGAUAAAAGGUCCCAU
RNAcentral lists this long non-coding RNA (1780 nucleotides) under Marmota monax (woodchuck). Lineage: Eukaryota; Metazoa; Chordata; Mammalia; Rodentia; Sciuridae. The record is from RNAcentral.